Neogale vison (American mink) is the source of this 186-nucleotide long non-coding RNA. RefSeq lists it as uncharacterized. NCBI's taxonomy places the organism in Eukaryota, Metazoa, Chordata, Mammalia, Carnivora, Mustelidae. The transcript is spliced from 3 exons. The record is from RefSeq and is a predicted model, not a curated record.
UUCAAAAGGCAGGAGGACCAGAAAGGCUGCAAUCCCAGAGGAAAGCAAAGACUAGAAAUGGAGUUGAAACUAUAGAGAGUGAUGAAUAAUUUGCAAUGAAUCAAGAACACGAUGACCUUCAUGAUAUUUUCCGCAGUGGCUGCACCAGUUUGCAUUCCCACAACCAUGCACAAAGUUUCUUUUUUC